UACGUAGGGUCCAAGCAUUAUCCGGAAUUACUGGGCGUAAAGAGUACGUAGGUGUUCCAUUAAGUCGGUCGUUAAAUCUCACCGCUCAACGGUGAGGCUGCGAGCGAUACUAAUGGAAUUGAGUGUCACAGGGGCAAGCAGAAUUCUUGGAGUAGGGGUGAAAUCCGUUGAUACCAAGAGGAAUACCAAUGGCGAAGGCAGCUUGCUAGGUGAACACUGACACUGAGGUACGAAAGCGUGGGGAGCAAACGGG
Molecule: ribosomal RNA, 253 nt
Filed under: uncultured bacterium
Lineage: Bacteria
Description: partial 16S ribosomal RNA
Rfam family: Bacterial small subunit ribosomal RNA
Source: RNAcentral